UAGCGGUGUCACAAACUAAAUGAUGCUCUAAAUGUUGCGAUGAAAAGCAUUCCAAAGUGGAGUCCUUACCUGACUGCUGAAUUGGGAGUAUCUUCGAUAACCAUGUUUAGGACUCUUAGAUCGACUGUGCUGACUAGGUUGUGCUUGCCUUGGCCUAUGGAAAGGAGACUGGUGCCCUAGUGGAUGGGCUGGGGCCUAUCGCAAAGGA
RNAcentral lists this long non-coding RNA (208 nucleotides) under Elaeis guineensis (African oil palm). RNAcentral describes it as "long non-coding RNA (EGUI_LNC005420)". The record is from RNAcentral. Lineage: Eukaryota; Viridiplantae; Streptophyta; Magnoliopsida; Arecales; Arecaceae.